This is a long non-coding RNA of Arachis stenosperma, 2955 nucleotides long. RefSeq lists it as uncharacterized. The transcript has 5 exons. The record is from RefSeq and is a predicted model, not a curated record. Lineage: Eukaryota; Viridiplantae; Streptophyta; Magnoliopsida; Fabales; Fabaceae.
UUUCCCUAGCCCUCAGCAGCCGAAAACCUUCCCCCAAAGCAACAACAACACACACGCUGCUCUUUGAGGAAACCAACAAAAAAAAAAAAUAUAGGGGGGAAGGCAGAAACCGGGAGAAGGGAGGAGAGAAGGAACGGAGCCGGCGAGGAGCCCAUUACCGCCGCCGCGUCGUCACUGGAUUUUGGAGGGAGGCCACGCCUUGAGCUGUCGCCGUCGCUCCACCACGAGCUACCAUCGCGAGUCAGGUCCGAGGCGAUAGGCAGAGAGCUGCUGCGAGGGAAGAAGAGGAAGAAGGGGGAAGAUCGGGCCGCGCCUUCGUCGCCACCGCGCCCACGCCGCGUCGCUGCCGUUGCCCUCCCUACAUCGUCGCCGUCGAGCUCGCGAGCGUGGAGGAGGCACAGCGCCGCUGGUUUCGUCGGGUUUCCGCCGUCGAACCCGUCCCUACCACCGCUGCUGACCACACGCACAGAGAGAGAGGGUGCGCGAAAAAGGAGCCGCCGCGGGGUUGCCGUCGCCAUUGCGAGGCUGGGUUCGCCGCUGUGGAGGGUCGCCGCCUUCCUCCGCCAUCACCGAAUAUCCAUCACCGGAGCUGCUGGACUCACCGUAUGCUACUGUUGUGUCGCCAGAACUGUCCUGAGGUUUUGCCACUCGUUCAGAUUUUGCUCUGUUUUGGGUUAGUGCUGCUGCUAUUGUUCUGGCCGCCGGAAGACCUCGAUGUCGCCACCUCUGCUGCCAGAAAUAGCCGCUGAGUCUUCUGUGAUGGAGUUUACCGCGAGUUGCCGUCGUUCUGGUCACCGGUGGUGACGUUGGUGUUGUCGGAAUCCACCACUGGUGCAGCCACUACCUGGUUCCCUCGAGUUCGAGUUGUUGAGACUGUUGCGAAAGUGGCUUGGAACCGAGGUUUUGGUUGCCGGGAUUUCUAUUGUUGACUUCGGGUUGAGGCAGAAAGGACUCUGUAACGCGUUUGGGCUAUGGUUUUGCGUUGAGGCCUCAAAUCUUUCCAUUCUUUGGAAUUGGAAUAGAUUGGACAGCUUCCAAACUCGCAGAGGGCUCAGGCAAGGAGAUCCAAUUUCUCCUUAUUUAUUUGUUUUGUGCAUGGGGAGAUUGGCAUGCUUCAUUUCCAAACAAGUUGACGAGGGUAUUUGAGAUGGUAUGGCUAUUUCUAGAGGGGGACGUAGAGUUUCUCACUUGAUGUUUGCAGAUGACCUCCUCCUUUUUUGUAAAGCAAAGAAAAAUCAAGUUCGGAAUGUUGUGCACACCUUGGAGUUGUUCUGCAAAACUUCAGGAAAAGGUGGAGGAGCGUUGCUUAAAUUUGGUCAAGUGGAGCAAAGUUGUCACUCCCAGAAAAUGUGAAGGCUUGGGAAUUAGAGAUACCCAAUAUGUAAAUUUUGCUUUAUUAGAAAAGCUUGUUUGGCAAUUACUACAUAAUAAAGAUAAGCUUUGGUAAGAAUUAUGUUGACAAAAUAUUUACCUGAGAGUUCUUGCUUUUCACCCAAUUUUUCUAAUAAUGUUUCAAGCACUUGACGAGUGAUUUAUAAGACAAUAGAAAAGCUUCGUGAUGAUUUUGAUUGGUAUACAGGCAGGAUGUCUCAAUUCUUUUGGUAUCAUGCUUGGCGACCAUGUGGAAUGCUAGCUCCUUUGGUUCCUUUUGUGCACAUUUCUGAUUCUCACUUGAAGCUAGAAGAUGUCUGGCACCAUUGACAUUGGCGGUGGGAUAUUCUUUGCACAAUGAUUUCAGAAGAAGUUAAACUUGAUUUGAUGCUCUUAUCCUAUCAAGCAGGCAGGAGAUAAAACAGGUUGGUUUUGGACAAACUCAAAUACUCUCACCUACUCGACUAAAAGUUGGUAUGAAUGGCUAUUGAAGAAGAAAUUUGGCUGGAAUGAUAAUGAAAAUUGGCUUUGACUUUGGUGCUUGAGAAUGCCGGAGAAGAUAAAGUGCCUGCUCUGACUUUGUCUCAACAACGAAGUUCCCACAUCUAGUUACUAGUUUCAAAGAGGUCUUGCUACUUCUGAUUUUUGUCAGAGAUAUUAUCUUGCUCUAGAGGAUAUUAACCAUUGCUUUAGGACUUGCCAAAAAGCUCGUCAGAUUUGGAUUAGCUUAAACUUGGGAAUGACCGCUGAGGACUCUAGUUUAGAUUUUGUGUCUUGGAUUCGUUCUAACCUCAUCAAAAAUGAGUUUCUCUUUGCAGCGGCCUUUUGGUGGAUUUGGAGGGAUAGGAACAAUGACAUCUUCCAUCAAGAUGAUCCAUGGAGUAAAGAGAAAAUUGUUCACUUAGUUAAACAUACUGCUCGAAAUUUCUCUAAUGUUGUUACCACCCAAAAACAUAUUAUUCAUUUCUCUUUGCAAUAUAAUUGGGAACCACCUCUAAUGAAUGUCUGUAAAGUAAACUGCAAUGCAAGCGUUUUUGAAAAUGAGCAAUUAACUGGCUUUGGAUGUAUUAUUAGAGACAGCAUGGGAAUUUGGAUAAAAGGUUGUUUUGCCACUAUACCUCUUUCUAGUGUUCUCUGUUGUGAGUUUCAUGCUAUUUGAAGAGGGCUUUUUAUGCCUUGGGAUUGCAAGUGCAAAAAGGUCAUAUGUGAAACUGAUAAUCUUGAUGCGUUUCUUUUUGUUUCGCGAGGCACAACCAGCAUGAUUAGGAAUGACUCUGAUCUGCUUGACAAAAUCAAAGAGAUGCUCCAACGCAAUUAGACAGCUACUUUAGUGUUCAUCCAACGCACAGCAAACAGAGCAGCUGAUUUAAUGGCUAAGACUGCUACUUUAAACAAGCAAGUGUAUUUAGAGUAGUUACUGCCCCUAAUAAUUUGGAUAUUAUUAUUAAAGAGGAGUGCUAUUCUUUUUCUUAGGUCUUUUUUGUGUGUGUUAUAUUCGGUUAAAAAAAAAUAGCUGCAAUGAGAGAUUGAUUUGUUAUAUGUAGUGACUGAUUUAACAAUUAAUUUUUUUUUCAAAAAACAGUC